GAGAAAUUGUUGAAUAAGAGUAGUAGCAUAGGUGUGCAAUAUAAGAGAGUCAGUGGGUGGUGGAAACUGAUUUGUAGCUUAUGUGAAUGGACUUAUGAGAGUCGCUAUUUAUAAUAGCGAACGGAUUCCCACGUUAUCGGGUGUGCUUUGACUUUAUUUUUGCGGUUUACUAAAUAGCCGUUGAAUAAAGUGACAGUCGCAGAUUGAACUAUUGUACGGAAAAAUGACGGGUACAAUUUCGCUGAGGCAGUUUUUGAUGGAGCACACAAGUGAGAGCAUAUAGCUCUAAUAUGAGGUGGCAACGCGGUCAUGAUCGUCCUCUGC
This 324-nucleotide non-coding RNA is filed under the name Lysinibacillus sphaericus. RNAcentral describes it as "T-box sequence". It matches the Rfam family "T-box leader". Rfam says of the family: Uncharged tRNA acts as the effector for transcription antitermination of genes in the T-box leader family. T-boxes are found upstream of many aminoacyl-tRNA synthetase genes and some amino acid biosynthetic genes usually in Gram-positive bacteria. Lineage: Bacteria; Bacillati; Bacillota; Bacilli; Caryophanales; Bacillaceae. The record is from RNAcentral.